Molecule: ribosomal RNA, 1160 nt
Filed under: uncultured organism
Description: SSU rRNA
Rfam family: Bacterial small subunit ribosomal RNA
Source: RNAcentral
UUGUGACUGAGUGGCGGACGGGAGAGUAACGCGUGGGUAACCUGCCUCGUACCGGGGGAUAACACUUAUAAAUGACUGCUAAUACCGCAUAAGCGCACAGUGCUGCAUGGCACAGUGUGACAAACUCCGGUGGUAUGACAUGGGCCCGCGUCUGAUUAGCUGGCUGGUGGGGCAAUGGCCUACCAAGGCGACGAUCAGUACCCGGCCUGAAAGGGUGAACGGCCACAUUGGGACUGAGACACGGCCCAAACUCCUGCGGUAGGCAACAGUGGGCAAUAUUGCGCACUGGGGGAAACCCUGAUGCCCCGACGCCGCGGGAGCCAACAAUGAUUCCGGCAUGUAAAGCUCUAUCAACACGGAAGAAAAUGACUGUACCUGACUAAUAAGCACCGGCUAAGUACCUGCCACCCGCCGCGGUAAUACGAAUGGAGCAAGCGUUAUCCGGAUUUACUGGGUGCAAAGGGAGCGUACACGGUUGUAUAAGUCUGAUGUGAUACCCCGGGGCUCAGCCCCGGGACUGCAUUGUACACUAUGUAACUCGAGUGUCGGACAGGUAAGCGGAAUUCCUAGUGUAGCGCAUGAAUGCGUAGAUAUUAGGAGGAUCACCAGUGCAGAAGGCGGGUUACUGGACGAUCACUGACGUUGAGACUCGAAAGAGUGGGGAGCAAACAUGAUUAGAUACCCUGGUAGUUCAUGCAGUAAAGGAUGACUAUUAGGUGUCGGGGAGCAAAGAUCUUCGGUGGCGCAGCAACCGCAAUAAGUAGUCCACAUGGGGAGUACGUUAGCAAGAAUGAAAAUCAAUGGAAUUGUCGGGGAGCCUCUCAAGCGGUGGAGCAUGUGGUAUAAUUCGAAGCAACGCGAAGAACCUUUUUUGGUCUUGACAUCCAUAUGAUCUAUCUUUAAUAGGAGUUUUCCUUUGGGACAGAGGAGUCAGGUGUUGCAUGGUUGUGGUCAGCUAGAUGUAGUGAGAUGUCGGGUUAAGUGUCGCAGAGAGCGCAACCCCUAUUUUCAGUAGCCAGCAUUUAAGGUGGGCUCUUUGGAGAGACUAACAGGGAUACCUGGAGGAAGGUGGGGAUGUCGUCAAAUCAUCAUGCCCAUUAUGUCCAGGAGUACACACGUGAUACAAUGGGGUAAUCAAAGGGAAGCGAACCUGUGAGGGG